This 87-nucleotide transfer RNA is filed under the name bacterium. Its description in RNAcentral is "tRNA-Leu". It matches the Rfam family "tRNA". Rfam says of the family: Transfer RNA (tRNA) molecules are approximately 80 nucleotides in length. The record is from RNAcentral. RNAcentral also lists the same sequence under 1 other name.
GCCGAAGUGGCGGAAUUGGUAGACGCGCUGGACUCAAAAUCCAGUGGGGGCAACCCCGUGGAGGUUCAAGUCCUCUCUUCGGUACCA